This 460-nucleotide ribosomal RNA is filed under the name uncultured bacterium. Its description in RNAcentral is "partial 16S ribosomal RNA". It matches the Rfam family "Bacterial small subunit ribosomal RNA", at positions 338 to 795 of the family's 1533-position model. The record is from RNAcentral.
CCUACGGGUGGCAGCAGUGAGGAAUAUUGGUCAAUGGACGAGAGUCUGAACCAGCCAAGUAGCGUGAAGGAUGACUGCCCUAUGGGUUGUAAACUUCUUUUAUAUGGGAAUAAAACAGGGUAUGCAUACCCUCUUGUAUGUACCAUAUGAAUAAGGAUCGGCUAACUCCGUGCCAGCAGCCGCGGUAAUACGGAGGAUCCGAGCGUUAUCCGGAUUUAUUGGGUUUAAAGGGAGCGUAGGUGGAUUGUUAAGUCAGUUGUGAAAGUUUGCGGCUCAACCGUAAAAUUGCAGUUGAAACUGGCAGUCUUGAGUGGGCGAGAAGAAGGCGGAAUGCGUGGUGUAGCGGUGAAAUGCAUAGAUAUCACGCAGAACCCCGAUUGCGAAGGCAGCCUUCCGGCGCCCUACUGACGCUGAGGCACGAAAGUGCGGGGAUCGAACAGGAUUAGAUAUCCGGGUAGUC